RNAcentral lists this ribosomal RNA (304 nucleotides) under uncultured soil bacterium. Its description in RNAcentral is "bacterial SSU rRNA". It matches the Rfam family "Bacterial small subunit ribosomal RNA", at positions 26 to 325 of the family's 1533-position model. The record is from RNAcentral.
AGAAUCAACGCUGGCGGCGUGCCUCAGACAUGCAAGUCGAACGAUUAAAGCUCUCUUCGGAGAGUGUAUAGAGUGGCGCACGGGUGAGUAACACGUAAGUAAUCUACCUUUGAGUGGGGAAUAACAGUCGGAAACGGCUGCUAAUACCGCAUAAUGCAGCGGCAUCGCAAGAUGACAGUUGUUAAAGGAGCAAUCCGCUUAAAGAGGAGCUUGCGGCAGAUUAGCUUGUUGGUAGGGUAACGCUUACCAAGGCUACGAUCUGUAUCCGGUCUAAGAGGACGGUCGGACACGACUGACACUAGAA